RNAcentral lists this long non-coding RNA (1492 nucleotides) under Chinchilla lanigera (long-tailed chinchilla). Its description in RNAcentral is "lncRNA (ENSCLAG00000025524.1)". The record is from RNAcentral. Lineage: Eukaryota; Metazoa; Chordata; Mammalia; Rodentia; Chinchillidae.
CUUUCCUAACUGCAGAAUGCUGGACUGGGGAUAGAGCUCAGUGGCAGAAGUGCCAGCCUGGCAAGCCUAAGGUCAUGAGUUUGAUUCCCGGGACCAAAUAAAUAAAUAAAUAAAUAAAUAAACUAACUGCAAAAUACCACUGCAGCGGCCCUCAUACCCGCUGUGAGGGUCUCAGGUGAAGUCUGCAGUCUGCCCUGCUGUGCUCUUACAAGUGUCAUUGAGGGUUUUUUUUUUCUUUAACAGUCACCUGUUGAGUUGUGGUUUUUUUUUUUUAAUGCAGAUUCUUAUUUGGUCAGUAGGUCAAGAUGGGGCCAGAGGUUUUUUUGGGUUUUUUGGAGACAGGGUCAAGCCUGGCCUUGAACUCAUCAUGUAGCCCAGGCUGGGCUCAAACUUAGGGAUCUUCCUGCCACAGCCUCUGGAGAGCUGGGGUAACAGGCGUGUGCCGCCCUGCCCACAGGACCUGAGAUCUUGUGUUUCGGGCAAGUUCCUGUUAACGCCCUGGUUCUGAGGGUGCAGCUACACUUUUAUUAGCACGGAGGGAGAAUGAUCUUCGACCCUCUCUAAGCUCUAAGAGCUUGCACCACUCCCCCGAAGAGGCUCUGCUUAUGAAGGACUUUUCUCCAUGUGCCUUUUUUCCCCUGCUGAGGGGUGGGGCUUGGACCCAAGGCCUUGCACGUGCUCGCUUAGGACUCUGCUCCUGAGCAAAAGCCAUAGCCCUGCUGUGAUGAUCUCUACCUCUCCAAAUGGAGCGGGCAUCAGCGGUCGCUCUGAGGGGGUCUGCAGCACCUCCUGCCCAGCUGAGGAGCACUGCACAGCGGCCUCGCGGUCUUACUCUGAAUGCAGCUGCGAGGCCUCCGGACAGUGGAGGGAAGAGCAAAUGGAACCCGAGAUGACCUUGGACGUGCCAUAGAAGUGCAACGUUUUCAUCUGUGGAAUGAAAAGUUUAUGCAUUCCUGGUUUUGGUUUUAGAUUUCUCUUUGUUUAAGACCGGGUCUCCCAAUGUAUUCUGGGCAGGCCUUGAGCUAUGCAACCCAGGCUGGCCUCGAACUCGCGAUGGGCCCUUCCUCCGUCUCUCUAGAGAUGGGGUUAAAUGUGCACCAGUACGCAGCCCCGCAUUCUUACUAAGUUUUGAUUCUGAAGUCCACUUUCAGAAUCACACAGACCUUAGUUUCCACAUUUUAAUGAAGGAGCCUAGCAUGGUAGCGCACGCCUGUCAGCCCAGUAGUCUGGGAGGCUGAGGCAGGCAGAUGGUGAAUUGGAGCCCAGCGUGGGCAAUUUAGCAAAUAAGUGAGGCCCCAAAUAAAAAUGUAGGGUGGGUGGAGGGGCUCGGGAUGGGCGAUCCUCAUCUCUACAGCGCUUUCCGCGCCCGCCCCAGAGGGAGGGCUCUGGGAGAGGCCAGCACCUCGGGCAGCUCCGCUGUCACUGCGGCAGGACGGGCCGCCCCUGCCCAGCGUCCGCGGCCUCCCCCAGGGCGCCGCGCGCUCCCCCGGCC